Molecule: ribosomal RNA, 1552 nt
Filed under: Vibrio alginolyticus
Lineage: Bacteria; Pseudomonadati; Pseudomonadota; Gammaproteobacteria; Vibrionales; Vibrionaceae
Description: bacterial SSU rRNA
Rfam family: Bacterial small subunit ribosomal RNA
Source: RNAcentral
AAAUUGAAGAGUUUGAUCAUGGCUCAGAUUGAACGCUGGCGGCAGGCCUAACACAUGCAAGUCGAGCGGAAACGAGUUAUCUGAACCUUCGGGGGACGAUAACGGCGUCGAGCGGCGGACGGGUGAGUAAUGCCUAGGAAAUUGCCCUGAUGUGGGGGAUAACCAUUGGAAACGAUGGCUAAUACCGCAUAAUGCCUACGGGCCAAAGAGGGGGACCUUCGGGCCUCUCGCGUCAGGAUAUGCCUAGGUGGGAUUAGCUAGUUGGUGAGGUAAUGGCUCACCAAGGCGACGAUCCCUAGCUGGUCUGAGAGGAUGAUCAGCCACACUGGAACUGAGACACGGUCCAGACUCCUACGGGAGGCAGCAGUGGGGAAUAUUGCACAAUGGGCGCAAGCCUGAUGCAGCCAUGCCGCGUGUGUGAAGAAGGCCUUCGGGUUGUAAAGCACUUUCAGUCGUGAGGAAGGUAGUGUAGUUAAUAGCUGCAUUAUUUGACGUUAGCGACAGAAGAAGCACCGGCUAACUCCGUGCCAGCAGCCGCGGUAAUACGGAGGGUGCGAGCGUUAAUCGGAAUUACUGGGCGUAAAGCGCAUGCAGGUGGUUUGUUAAGUCAGAUGUGAAAGCCCGGGGCUCAACCUCGGAAUAGCAUUUGAAACUGGCAGACUAGAGUACUGUAGAGGGGGUAGAAUUUCAGGUGUAGCGGUGAAAUGCGUAGAGAUCUGAAGGAAUACCGGUGGCGAAGGCGGCCCCCUGGACAGAUACUGACACUCAGAUGCGAAAGCGUGGGGAGCAAACAGGAUUAGAUACCCUGGUAGUCCACGCCGUAAACGAUGUCUACUUGGAGGUUGUGGCCUUGAGCCGUGGCUUUCGGAGCUAACGCGUUAAGUAGACCGCCUGGGGAGUACGGUCGCAAGAUUAAAACUCAAAUGAAUUGACGGGGGCCCGCACAAGCGGUGGAGCAUGUGGUUUAAUUCGAUGCAACGCGAAGAACCUUACCUACUCUUGACAUCCAGAGAACUUUCCAGAGAUGGAUUGGUGCCUUCGGGAACUCUGAGACAGGUGCUGCAUGGCUGUCGUCAGCUCGUGUUGUGAAAUGUUGGGUUAAGUCCCGCAACGAGCGCAACCCUUAUCCUUGUUUGCCAGCGAGUAAUGUCGGGAACUCCAGGGAGACUGCCGGUGAUAAACCGGAGGAAGGUGGGGACGACGUCAAGUCAUCAUGGCCCUUACGAGUAGGGCUACACACGUGCUACAAUGGCGCAUACAGAGGGCAGCCAACUUGCGAAAGUGAGCGAAUCCCAAAAAGUGCGUCGUAGUCCGGAUUGGAGUCUGCAACUCGACUCCAUGAAGUCGGAAUCGCUAGUAAUCGUGGAUCAGAAUGCCACGGUGAAUACGUUCCCGGGCCUUGUACACACCGCCCGUCACACCAUGGGAGUGGGCUGCAAAAGAAGUAGGUAGUUUAACCUUCGGGGGGACGCUUACCACUUUGUGGUUCAUGACUGGGGUGAAGUCGUAACAAGGUAGCGCUAGGGGAACCUGGCGCUGGAUCACCUCCUUA